This 1469-nucleotide long non-coding RNA is filed under the name Bos grunniens (domestic yak). RNAcentral describes it as "lncRNA (ENSBGRG00000004467.1)". Lineage: Eukaryota; Metazoa; Chordata; Mammalia; Artiodactyla; Bovidae. The record is from RNAcentral.
AUGCGAAGACCGCGAGCAGGAGUGGAGGGAGGGGCAAAGGGAGGGUGCCUGCGGGAGCUCCCGGGUCGCUCUGAACUUGAAGGUUUCGCUUUCGUCCAACUAGGGGACAACGAGGUGGCAAUCAACUUCCUCUCCCGAGACACCCCCUGCGCGACAAGGACAGCAGGAACGCCCCUGGAGUGCCCGAUCCCAGCUUUUCCGCCGGCCCGGGAGCGCAGGGGCCUGCAGGAGCCGCGGGGACUGGCAGGGCUCCCGCCUCUUCUCCAGUCGGCGGGUCCAGCGGCGGCGGAGGCAGCAACAGGCACCGAGGCGCAGGAACGUCGGCGGCCGCAGCGGCGGCGGCGGAGGAGGAGGUGUCUGCGCGCGGCUCGCGUUUCCUCCUCCCCGGCAGGGCGAGCGCGGGGGAGGCGAGGGGAGGGCUGAACCCGGGAUCUCCCAACUCGGUCCCCAGGGACCUAAGAGGGGGACGCGAUGCCCCCUCCCUCCCCACAGCGCCGUGUGACUCUGCUCGAGCGGCAUGGCCGAGACGGGCGAGUCACUCGCCGGCAACAGCUGCUGCAGUGCGGUCCACCGCCGUCUCCCUCCCCUCCCUGUCUCUCCCUUCCCGGGCGGUCCAUCCUCAACCUGCUCCCGGGCAGCCAGCCUCAGCCCCGAGAGGUGUCAGGGCGCCGCCCCACCAGCCCCAGAGCAGGGUCUUGGCCAGACGAAUACCCUGGGCUCCGGGGACGCGAAACCCCGCGCCUGAUUAAAGCCCUCGAGGAGGGAUGUGCGGUCCAACCCUGAGCUUAGCAGCCUAUUUAUAGCAGGUGGCACUGCCAGCCGCGCUCCGGGCCUGCGGGGCUCUCAGCAGGUGGCACUGCCAGCCCGCUCUUCACUGCCCUGCGGUAGCCUCGCCUCCUCUCUCCGAAAUGGACAGGGUGAAAACUGCACAGAACACAGGAAGGUGGCCAAGCCUCCUGGAGGCUCUUCCAGACAUUACCCCUUCUUCCCGUCCUAGUCAGGGAGUGAAUUGAGGCACGGGCAUCCUCUGGGGCUGAAUCAAGGAAUCGGGGAACAGCUUAAGUGUCUUUUCCUAUUAAACACCCGUAAACCCAUUUCCGAACAACUGCGGAAUGACGCAGGGGCUAGACUGCCUUUUCCCCUUCCUGAUGGUCCAGAGGCGCGCGCGCGCACUCACACACACCCCUAUCUCUCUCUCCCUCCCUCCCCCGCCCCCACACACCUCCGUGUGCCUACCUCUCUCUCACACACACCUCCGUGAGCCCACCCUCGAGUCAGAUUUGGGGAAGUUAGUUCUCAGCUGCCUUGUAGAGUGUAAGGAGAGACACCAGGGAGAUGUAAGACGUCUGAGAAAGCAGGCUCCUAGGGUUAGGAGAUGGCAGGGUUCAGGAAACAGGCAAACCUCCUAAAUCCCUGUCUUACCAGGUAAAUUUCACGCCCCACGGCUGGGACAGCGAUCUGAGGAAGUG